Molecule: ribosomal RNA, 154 nt
Filed under: Escherichia coli
Lineage: Bacteria; Pseudomonadati; Pseudomonadota; Gammaproteobacteria; Enterobacterales; Enterobacteriaceae
Also listed under: 3 other names
Description: partial 16S ribosomal RNA
Rfam family: Bacterial small subunit ribosomal RNA
Source: RNAcentral
AAAUUGAAGAGUUUGAUCAUGGCUCAGAUUGAACGCUGGCGGCAGGCCUAACACAUGCAAGUCGAACGGUAACAGGAAGCAGCUUGCUGUUUCGCUGACGAGUGGCGGACGGGUGAGUAAUGUCUGGGAAACUGCCUGAUGGAGGGGGAUAACU